RNAcentral lists this ribosomal RNA (890 nucleotides) under uncultured bacterium. Its description in RNAcentral is "bacterial SSU rRNA". It matches the Rfam family "Bacterial small subunit ribosomal RNA", at positions 28 to 896 of the family's 1533-position model. The record is from RNAcentral.
AACGAACGCUGGCGGCGUGCUUAACACAUGCAAGUCGAACGGAUCAAGGGGCUUGCUCCUUGAUUAGUGGCGCACGGGUGAGUAACGCGUGGAUAAUCUGCCCGACGAUCUGGGAUAACAUCUCGAAAGGGGUGCUAAUACCGGAUAAGCCCACGGGGUCUUCGGAUCUUGCGGGAAAAGAGGGGGACCUUCGGGCCUCUUGUCGUCGGAUGAGUCCGCGUACCAUUAGCUAGUUGGCGGGGUAAAGGCCCACCAAGGCUACGAUGGUUAGCUGGUCUGAGAGGAUGAUCAGCCACACUGGAACUGAGACACGGUCCAGACUCCUACGGGAGGCAGCAGUGGGGAAUUUUGCGCAAUGGGGGAAACCCUGACGCAGCAACGCCGCGUGAGUGAUGAAGGCCUUCGGGUCGUAAAGCUCUGUCUAGAGGAAAGAAGUGUGGGGUGGCUAAUAUCCACUUCACUUGACGGUACCUCUGAAGGAAGCACCGGCUAACUCCGUGCCAGCAGCCGCGGUAAUACGGAGGGUGCGAGCGUUGUUCGGGUUUAUUGGGCGUAAAGCGCGUGUAGGCGGUUUCUUAAGUCUGAUGUGAAAGUCCCGGGCUCAACCUGGGAAGUGCAUUGGAUACUGGGAGACUUGAAUACGGGAGAGGGUAGUGGAAUUCCUAGUGUAGGAGUGAAAUCCGUAGAUAUUAGGAGGAACACCGGUGGCGAAGGUGGCUACCUGGACCGAUAUUGACGCUGAGACGCGAAAGCGUGGGUAGUAAACAGGAUUAGAUACCCUGGUAGUCCACGCCGUAAACGAUGAGAACUAGGUGUUGCGGGUAUUGACCCCUGCAGUGCCGCAGCUAACGCAUUAAGUUCUCCGCCUGGGAAGUAUGGUCGCAAGACUA